GAGUUUGAUCAUGGCUCAGAACGAACGCUGGCGGCAGGCUUAACACAUGCAAGUCGAACGCCCCGCAAGGGGAGUGGCAGACGGGUGAGUAACGCGUGGGAACCUACCUUUCGGUACGGAAUAACUCGGGGAAACUCGUGCUAAUACCGUAUAUUCCGGUAACGGGAAAGAUUUAUCGCCGAAAGACGGGCCCGCGUUAGAUUAGCUAGUUGGUGGGGUAAUGGCCUACCAAGGCGACGAUCUAUAGCUGGUCUGAGAGGAUGAUCAGCCACACUGGGACUGAGACACGGCCCAGACUCCUACGGGAGGCAGCAGUGGGGAAUCUUGGACAAUGGGGGAAACCCUGAUCCAGCCAUGCCGCGUGAGUGAUGACGGCCUUAGGGUUGUAAAGCUCUUUCACGCAUGACGAUGAUGACGGUAAUGCGAGAAGAAGCCCCGGCUAACUUCGUGCCAGCAGCCGCCGU
Molecule: ribosomal RNA, 464 nt
Filed under: uncultured Alphaproteobacteria bacterium
Lineage: Bacteria; Pseudomonadati; Pseudomonadota; Alphaproteobacteria
Description: bacterial SSU rRNA
Rfam family: Bacterial small subunit ribosomal RNA
Source: RNAcentral